RNAcentral lists this ribosomal RNA (450 nucleotides) under uncultured bacterium. RNAcentral describes it as "partial 16S ribosomal RNA". It matches the Rfam family "Bacterial small subunit ribosomal RNA", at positions 354 to 796 of the family's 1533-position model. The record is from RNAcentral.
GUGGGGAAUCUUCCGCAAUGGACGAAAGUCUGACGGAGCAACGCCGCGUGAGUGAAGAAGGUUUUCGGAUCGUAAAGCUCUUUCGUUAGGGACGAACGUGCUCUUUGUGAAUAAUGAGGAGUAAUGACGGUACCUAAAUAAGAAGCCACGGCUAACUACGUGCCAGCAGCCGCGGUAAUACGUAGGUGGCAAGCGUUGUCCGGAAUUAUUGGGCGUAAAGCGCGCGCAGGCGGGAUAUCAAGUCUGUCUUAAAAGUGCGAGGCUCAACCUCGUGAGGGGACAGAAACUGGUAUUCUUGAGUGUCGGAGAGGAAAGUGGAAUUCCAAGUGUAGCUGUGAAAUGCGUAGAGAUUUGGAAGAACACCAGUGGCGAAGGCGACUUUCUGGACGAUGUCUGACGCUGAGGCGCGAAAGCUAGGGGAGCGAACGGGAUUAGAUACCCUGGUAGUCC